RNAcentral lists this ribosomal RNA (1003 nucleotides) under Plectosphaerella sp. Its description in RNAcentral is "partial large subunit ribosomal RNA". It matches the Rfam family "Eukaryotic large subunit ribosomal RNA", at positions 77 to 1105 of the family's 3401-position model. The record is from RNAcentral. Lineage: Eukaryota; Fungi; Ascomycota; Sordariomycetes; Glomerellales; Plectosphaerellaceae.
GCCUCAGUAACGGCGAGUGAAGCGGCAACAGCUCAAAUUUGAAAUCUGGCUCCUUCGGGGCCCGAGUUGUAAUUUGCAGAGGAUGCGUCGGGUACGGGUGCCUUCCGAGUUCCCUGGAACGGGACGCCAUAGAGGGUGAGAGCCCCGUCUGGUAGGACACCCAGCCCGUGUGACGCUCCCUCGACGAGUCGAGUAGUUUGGGAAUGCUGCUCUAACGGGAGGUAUACUCCUUCCAAGGCUAAAUACCGGCUGGAGACCGAUAGCGCACAAGUAGAGUGAUCGAAAGAUGAAAAGCACUUUGAAAAGAGAGUCAAACAGCACGUGAAAUUGUUAAAAGGGAAGCGCUCGCUACCAGACUUGGGUUCGGCGGUUCAACCGGGGCCACGCCCCGGGGCAUUCCGCCGGCCCAGGCCAGCAUCAGCUUUCCGUCGGGGGUAAAGGCGUCGGGAAUGUGGCUCCCCUUCGGGGGAGUGUUAUAGCCCGUCGUGUCAUACCCUUCGGGGGGCUGAGGUACGCGCUUCUGCAAGGAUGCUGGCGUAAUGGUAGCUAGUGACCCGUCUUGAAACACGGACCAAGGAGUCAACCUUAUGUGCGAGUGCCCGGGCGUAAAACCCCAGCGCGGAAUGAAAGUGAACGUAGGUGAGAGCUUCGGCGCAUCACCGACCGAUCCUGAUGUCCUCGGACGGAUUUGAGUGAGAGCAUAUAGGGUUGGACCCGAAAGAAGAUGAACUAUGCGUGUGUAGGGUGAAGCCAGAGGAAACUCUGGUGGAGGCUCGCAGCGGUUCUGACGUGCAAAUCGAUCGUCAAACAUGCGCAUGGGGGCGAAAGACUAAUCGAAUCUUCUGGUAGCUGGUUUCCGCCGAAGUUUCCCUCAGGAUAGCAGUGUUGAUCCCAGUUUUAUGAGGUAAAGCGAAUGAUUAGGGACUCGGGGGCGCUAUAUUGCCUUCAUCCAUUCUCAAACUUUAAAUAUGUAAGAAGUCCCCGUUUCUUAACUGAACGCGGA